UUUCAGUACAAAUAAUAUGCUGUCUAAGUAAUACAUCUAACUAAAGGACAAAAGACCCUUUGAGCUUUAUAGGGAUAAAACUUUGAUUGCAUUUUUUAGCUUAGGCCGCUCAAAGAUCUAUAUCUGAGGUGUGCCUUAAUAAAUUUAUUUAUUGGUCUUGCCUUUAAAAUAAAGAUCAAGACCACUGUUUAAUUGGGGCGAUAAA
RNAcentral lists this ribosomal RNA (205 nucleotides) under Durusdinium sp. RNAcentral describes it as "partial large subunit ribosomal RNA". The record is from RNAcentral. Lineage: Eukaryota; Dinophyceae; Suessiales; Symbiodiniaceae.